AUUGAACGCUGGCGGCAGGCCUAACACAUGCAAGUCGAGCGGUAGAGAGGUGCUUGCAUCUCUUGAGAGCGGCGGACGGGUGAGUAAUGCCUAGGAAUCUGCCUAGUGGUGGGGGAUAACGUUCGGAAACGGACGCUAAUACCGCAUACGUCCUACGGGAGAAAGCGGGGGAUCUUCGGACCUCGCGCCAUUAGAUGAGCCUAGGUCGGAUUAGCUAGUUGGUGAGGUAAUGGCUCACCAAGGCGACGAUCCGUAACUGGUCUGAGAGGAUGAUCAGUCACACUGGAACUGAGACACGGUCCAGACUCCUACGGGAGGCAGCAGUGGGGAAUAUUGGACAAUGGGCGAAAGCCUGAUCCAGCCAUGCCGCGUGUGUGAAGAAGGUCUUCGGAUGUAAAGCACUUUAAGUUGGGAGGAAGGGACAGUUACCUAAUACGUGAUUGUUUUGACGUUACCGACAGAAU
Molecule: ribosomal RNA, 464 nt
Filed under: uncultured bacterium
Lineage: Bacteria
Description: bacterial SSU rRNA
Rfam family: Bacterial small subunit ribosomal RNA
Source: RNAcentral